This is a long non-coding RNA of Sinocyclocheilus anshuiensis, 145 nucleotides long. RefSeq lists it as uncharacterized. The record is from RefSeq and is a predicted model, not a curated record. The transcript is spliced from 3 exons. Lineage: Eukaryota; Metazoa; Chordata; Actinopteri; Cypriniformes; Cyprinidae.
CAGGGGCGGUUCUAAACCCUUUUUAGGUGGGUUUCAGCCCCCCUAUCUGUCACCUUAGCCCCCCAAAAAUAUCUUAACGAUCAGGCUAGUGUUGCUUCCUCAAGAAAGUUUUUCAUUCUCACGUGUUUUAACUGUCAAGACUUAA